RNAcentral lists this ribosomal RNA (503 nucleotides) under uncultured bacterium. RNAcentral describes it as "partial 16S ribosomal RNA". It matches the Rfam family "Bacterial small subunit ribosomal RNA", at positions 30 to 523 of the family's 1533-position model. The record is from RNAcentral.
AUUGAACGCUGGCGGCAGGCUUAACACAUGCAAGUCGAGCGGGGUGAUGGUGCUUGCACUAUCACUUAGCGGCGGACGGGUGAGUAAUGCUUAGGAAUCUGCCUAUUAGUGGGGGACAACAUCUCGAAAGGGAUGCUAAUACCGCAUACGUCCUACGUGAGAAAGCAGGGGAUCACUUGUGACCUUGCGCUAAUAGAUGAGCCUAAGUCGGAGUAGCUAGUUGGUGGGGUAAAGGCCUACCAAGGCGACGAUCUGUAGCGGGUCUGAGAGGAUGAUCCGCCACACUGGGACUGAGACACGGCCCAGACUCCUACGGGAGGCAGCAGUGGGGAAUAUUGGAAAAUGGGGGGAACCCUGAUCCAGCCAUGCCGCGUGUGUGAAGAAGGCCUUAUGGUUGUAAAGCACUUUAAGCGAGGAGGAGGCUCUUUUGGUUAAUACCCAAGAUGAGUGGACGUUACUCGCAGAAUAAGCACCGGCUAACUCUGUGCCAGCAGCCGCCGUAA